RNAcentral lists this ribosomal RNA (253 nucleotides) under uncultured bacterium. RNAcentral's name for it is "partial 16S ribosomal RNA". It matches the Rfam family "Bacterial small subunit ribosomal RNA", at positions 524 to 776 of the family's 1533-position model. The record is from RNAcentral.
UACGUAGGGUGCAAGCGUUGUCCGGAAUUAUUGGGCGUAAAGAGCUCGUAGGCGGCUUGUCGCGUCGGCUGUGAAAACCUGGGGCUCAACCCCGGGCCUGCAGCCGAUACGGGCAAGCUAGAAUUCGGUAGGGGAGACUGGAAUUCCUGGUGUAGCGGUGAAAUGCGCAGAUAUCAGGAGGAACACCGGUGGCGAAGGCGGCAUCCUGGACCGGCAUUGACGCUGAGGCGCGAAAGCCAGGGGAGCAAACGGG